GGUCGAGUAGAACAACCAGGUGAC
Molecule: non-coding RNA, 24 nt
Filed under: Arabidopsis thaliana (thale cress)
Lineage: Eukaryota; Viridiplantae; Streptophyta; Magnoliopsida; Brassicales; Brassicaceae
Source: RNAcentral